UAUCGAAGAAGCGGUAUCCAAGGGAUUUGUUGAGCAGAGCGAUUCUCAGGAGCUGGUCAAUUUUAACAGUAAAAGGUCUUUAAUAAGCGCUGUAAUUGCGCAUAGGAAGGCGACAAAGUUUGCCCAAGAUUUGAAAGAUAGGUUUGAAGUCUCGUAUUGCUUUCUCCUUCUAUGUGCCAUCAUCUCCUUAGCAAUUAAUUUCUAUCGCCUUUCAGAUAUCUCAAGCGAUAUGCUUGACGCACGAUUUCGAAGAAUUGAUCAUGUCUGCGAUGUUUUCCAUUAGUGAACUAGUUUACAUGUUUUACUUGAACUACCUGAUACAAGUGCUGCUCGAUUUCGCUGAUAGCAUUGU
Hylaeus anthracinus is the source of this 352-nucleotide long non-coding RNA. RefSeq lists it as uncharacterized. Lineage: Eukaryota; Metazoa; Arthropoda; Insecta; Hymenoptera; Colletidae. The record is from RefSeq and is a predicted model, not a curated record. The transcript has 3 exons.